GGCUAGGUUAGCUCAGUUGGUAGAGCACCGGAUCGGCAAUCCGGAGGUUGCAGGUUCAAACCCUGCUCCAGUCA
RNAcentral lists this transfer RNA (74 nucleotides) under Patiria miniata (bat star). RNAcentral's name for it is "tRNA-Ala". It matches the Rfam family "tRNA". Rfam says of the family: Transfer RNA (tRNA) molecules are approximately 80 nucleotides in length. Their secondary structure includes four short double-helical elements and three loops (D, anti-codon, and T loops). Lineage: Eukaryota; Metazoa; Echinodermata; Asteroidea; Valvatida; Asterinidae. The record is from RNAcentral.